RNAcentral lists this ribosomal RNA (333 nucleotides) under uncultured bacterium. Its description in RNAcentral is "partial 16S ribosomal RNA". It matches the Rfam family "Bacterial small subunit ribosomal RNA", at positions 72 to 422 of the family's 1533-position model. The record is from RNAcentral.
AGCCACCUUCGGGUGGAGUACAGUGGCAGACGGGUGAGUAACGCGUGGGAACGCGCCUUUCGGUUCGGGAUAACCCAGGGAAACUUGGGCUAAUACCGGAUACGCCCUCCGGGGUAAAGAUUCAUCGCCGAAAGAUCGGCCCGCGUCGGAUUAGCUAGUUGGUGGGGUAAUAGCCUACCAAGGCGACGAUCCGUAGCUGGUCUGAGAGGAUGACCAGCCACACUGGGACUGACACACGGCCCAGACUCCUACGGCAGGCAGCAGUGGGAAAUUUUGCGCAAUGGGCGAAAGCCUGACGCAGCAACGCCGCGUGAAGGAUGAAGGCUCUCUGAA